Molecule: long non-coding RNA, 5741 nt
Filed under: Medicago truncatula (barrel medic)
Lineage: Eukaryota; Viridiplantae; Streptophyta; Magnoliopsida; Fabales; Fabaceae
Description: long non-coding RNA (MTRU_LNC007614)
Source: RNAcentral
UUUUUUUUUUUUUGCAAGAACGUGUUUUUUCUAUUUACUUAUUUAUUUAGACAAAAGAACAUGUUGUAAUUUGUUAACCAUAUAAUGAAUUAAAUCAACCAUAUCUUUUUUUAAUCAAAUCAUUGAACUCAGGUAGUUAAUCAACUAUCGUUAAAAUGAAUUGUUUGAGAGAACACAAGUUCGAUUCCUUAUCAAACUUAAGAUUACUUGUGAUCAAUCUUCUAGAAAUCAAAACGUUAGCAAUAAAAAACAUAUAAUUUUCCGGUGGUUCUGGGAAAAAACAAAAAAGAAUAUAAAAUAACCAUAUACCUCUUAAAAAUAAACUUUUUAAACACAUAUUAAACUGAACUAACCAUAACUCGUUAACAACAUCAUAUUCAAUGAAUAGUACCAUAUGCCAUAUCUUCUCAUCUUGCCAUGGUGUGAACAGUAAAUAAUAUGUUGUGAUGUAUUUUUGUCAAAACAAUUGGGUUAGUGUGCAGUCACACCAUGGACUCAUGCAAGCCAUUUGAAACAAUCUGAUUGAGGUCGGAUGGUUCAAAUUUGAAGUUGUUAAUUUUGAAUUUUUAGAAAAUAUAAACAUGCUAUUUUUUAGAACCGUAUGAUCUUGAUCUGGUGCGAACAUAUCAUCUAAGUGCAUGAGUGCUCUGAAUCCGAAUUUGUGUCCAAAUUAAAUGGUAUUUCAGUAAUAAAAAAGUGUUAAAAAAUCCUCUCAAAAAGGUCCACUAGGAUGACUUCAUUUGUAAUAUUGGACAGGGAUGGAUAUGAAUACAUGUUUAUUGAUAAGAUUGUUCGAGUCGUCUCAACAGUGAUACAACCUUUUUCUUUAUCUAUACCUGAUUACCUAGUUGGGUUGGAGGACCAAAAACAAGAUGUAUUAUCGCUUUUGAAUGUUGACUCUGAUGAUAAGGUCUAUAUGGUUGGAAUCCACGGAACCGGUGGAAUAGGGAAAACAACUCUUGCUCAAGCGGUUUAUAAUUCAAUUGUAGAUCAAUUUGAUGGUUCGUGUUAUCUUGAAGAUGUAAGAGGAAAAACAGGGAAUGAGGGGUUGAUACAUCUUCAAAAUAUCCUUCUUUCUAAAAUAUUUGGAGAAAAUAAAAUCGUGGUAACAAGUGUUAACGAGGGAAUUAAUGAACUUCAAGUUAGGCUAAAAAAAAAGAAAGUUCUUUUGCUUCUUGACAAUGUUGACAAGUUGGAUCAAUUACGCAAUAUUGUUCGAGAACCCGGAUGGUUUGGUCGUGGAAGUAGAGUUAUGAUCACGACCCGUGACAUAGACGUGCUAAGAAGGCAUGGGGUUGAAAGAAGACAUGAGGUGAAAAUGUUGAACAAGGAUGAAGCUUACGAUCUUCUUAGAUGGAAAACUUUUCAAACUAAUGAAGUUAGUCCAAGCUUUGAAGAUGUUUUCAAUCGUGCUUUAACCUAUAUCAGUGGCCUUCCAUUAGCUAUUGAAAUAAUCGGUUCUCACUUAUUUUCAAAAAAAACAAUAGAAGAAUGGAACUCUGUGUUAGAUCAGUACAAAAAGGUUCCUAACCAAGAGAUCUUUGAGAUUCUUAAAGUGAGCUACAAUGAUUUGGUCCAAGAUUAUAAAGAUGUUUUUCUUGACAUAGCUUGUUUCUUCAAAGGAGAUAAUUUGGAAUAUGUCAAAAAAAUACUUCAUGCUCAUUAUGGUGACGAGAAGAAAGAUCAUAUCAAUGUGUUAAUUGAAAAAUCUCUCAUAAAGAUAAGCGAGUUUAAUGAUUUGAGUUUACAUGAUCUGAUAGAAGAUAUGGGAAAAGAAAUUGUCAGACUAGAAUCACCAUAUCAGCCUGGAGAACGCAGUAGAUUAUGGUCUGUUAAAGACAUAGUUGAAGUUUUGGAGGAAAAUACGGUGAGUAAAAUUUAUUCAACUUUUAAUCUUUAACCUAGUUUUAGAUCUUUUCAGUAUCCAUAUUACUAAUGCUCACAUUACAAAUUUUUCCUUUAUAAUUUGUAAUGUUAUUUAAAUAUGUGUAAUUAAAUUCUAACGUAUAUACAUGUAUUUUGAUUCAUUUAUGCUCUUUUUGUUAACAGGGAACAAGUAAAAUUGGAACCAUUAUUAUGCCUUGGGAUAUCAAGAAGGACAAUGUAGUAAAUUGGGAUGGAGAGGCUUUUAAGAAUAUGACAAAGCUUAGAACACUUCUUAUUGAAGGAGUUAAAUUUUCUGAAAGUCCAAAGCAUCUUCCAAAUAGUUUAAGAAUACUGGAGUGGUACGACUAUCCAUCACAGUAUUUCCCGGUUGAUUUUCUCCCGAGGCAACUCAUCAUAUGCAAAUUGAGCUCUGAAUUUUAUCGUCCUCGGGAAGACUUUUUCAAGAAGGCAAGCGUGAUGAAUUUAUAAUAUUCUUAACAUUCUUGAAAAUUUUAUAAAAGCGUAAACAUGCCAUUUUCUUAUGAGCACCUAAAAUAAAAGCUGAUAAUUUUGUAAAGAAGAAAAAUAUAUUUAAUCCAAUUAAUAAUGUCACAUUAAUUAAGAUCACUCGCUCACUCAUUUAUUUGUUUUUUGUUUUGUUUUGCAGUACUGCAGGAAUAUGAGAAUUUUACAGUUUCUUCAUUGUAAUUCUUUGAGAUCGAUACCUAAUAUGUCAGGUCUCCAAAAUUUAGAAGAACUUUCAUUUUGGAGGUGUCCGGAGUUAAUUACAUUUGAUGACUCCAUUGUUUUGCUGGGUAAACUUAAAAUUUUGAAUAUCAUAAACUGUGGUGAACUCAAAUAUAUUCCACUCCUCAAAUUAGCUUCAUUGAAAAAACUCACUCUUUCAAAUUUAUAUAGUAUUAAGAGUUUUUCUCCCAUGUUGAAUGAGGCAUUGGAUAAACUUCAAUUUUUGGAGGUCAUCUGGUGUCCUUUUCUCAAAUAUAUUCCACCUCUUAAAUUAACUUCAUUGAAAACACUCACUCUUUCACAUAUAGAUCGCAUUAAGAGUCUUUCUCCCAUGUUGGACGAGUCAUUGGAUAAGCUUAAAAUUUUGAUGGUUGAAUAUUGUGCAAAGAUCCAAACUAUUCCAUCUCUCAAAUUACCUUCAUUGGAGGAACUCACUCUUAGCAAUUUAUCUAGUAUUGAGAGUCUUUCUCCCACGUUGGAUGAGUCAUUGGAUAAGCUUAAAAUUUUGGAGGUUGAUGAUUGUGGAAAGCUCCAAACUAUUCCAUCUCUCAAAUUACCUUCAUUGGAGGAACUCACUCUUAGCAAUUUAUCUAGUAUUGAGAGUCUUUCUCCCAUGUUGGAUGAGUCGUUGGAUAAGCUUAAAAUUUUGAAGGUUGUUGAUUGUGCAAAGCUCCAAACUAUUCCAUCUCUCAAAUUACCUUCAUUGGAGAAACUCAGGCUUGGAAGUUUAUCUAGUAUUCAGAGUCUUUCUCCCAUGUUGGAUGAGUCGUUGGAUAAGCUUAAAAGUUUGAAGGUUUUAUUUUGUAAGAAGCUCCAAACUAUUCCAUCUCUCAAAUUACCUUCAUUGGAGAAACUCAGGCUUGGAAGUUUAUCUAGUAUUCAGAGUCUUUCUCCCAUGUUGGAUGAGUCGUUGGAUAAGCUUAAAAUUUUGAUGGUUGAUGGUUGUGAGAACCUCCAAGCUAUUCCAUCUCUCAAAUUACCUUCGUUGGAGCAACUCUGGCUUGUAAUUUUAUUUAGUAUUCAGAGUCUUUCUCCCAUGUUAGAUGAGUCGUUGGAUAAGCUUAAAAUUUUGGAGGUUCAUGGUUGUGUGAACCUCCAAACUAUUCCAUCUCUCAAAUUACCUUCAUUGGAGAAACUCACUCUUAAAGGUUUAUAUGGUAUUAAGAGUCUUUCUCCCAUGUUGGAUGAGUCAUUGGAUAAACUUAAAGUCUUGAAUAUUAGAUAUUGCUAUGACCUGUGUAGUUUUCCACAUGUCAUGUUGCCUUCACUAGAAAUCCUUAAUCUUUUAUAUUGUUAUUUUCUCGAGAGUUUUCCACCUGUCAUGUUGCCUUCACUAGAAAUCCUUGAUCUUUCAUAUUGUAAAUCUCUCGAGAGUUUUCCACGUAUCACCAGUCGGUCAAUGACUAAACUUAAAAUAUUGAGACUUGAAGGUUGUGAAAAGCUCAGGAAUAUUCAUGCUAUCAAUGUGGAUUCCUUAGAUGAAUUCGAUUAUUCAGGAUGUGAGAGUCUCGAGUUUCCCACCUCUGACUGAUGGAAGAGAUUAAUGCAGUUUACACCAUUUCAUUGUGUCAACUCAAGAGCACUCCCAUUACUAGGUAGCUCUUUAAAAAGAUAUUUAUAUAUGAACCUUUUUUUUCUUUUCUAAGACUUGUAUAUGGUUUGAUUCUAAAAAAGUUGGAUUCUACUGGAGAUAUACUAUAUCUUGCAGGUCUCUUUUCCUGCCAAUUAAAUCUUAUGCAUUUUCUAAAGGUUUAAAUGUUGAUUUAUGUAUUUUGCCUCAAUCACGAUUUUGAUCCUCCUAUUUUUAUAUCUAUGAUUUUAAUCAUCGAUCUAACUUUUAAAAUCAAUGACUUAAUUUAUUCUACGUGUGCAUUUUGAAGCUGAAUUUUGAUGAUAUGAUAAGUGAGAUGUUGAUCAAAACAUACACUAAUUUUCAUUACAAUUCAUACUGCUUCUUGAUUUUUGUGUGUUAAUCGCAUACCUGGAGAAAAUGCUAACAGUUUUUGUUGUUUUUGCUGCAAUCAUUAUUAAUAUUAAUUUUGUCUCUAUAGAAUGGAUCAAAAAGCGUGUGAUGAAUCUGUCAAAAAAGCUUCGGAUUUCAAGUGUGAUAAUUUUUUUUAAGAAGUUGAUAAAUCAAUUGCAUGCCCCACUCAAGUGUGAUAAGAAGACUGAACCAUUAUUUGCAAAAUAAUCUUUUCAAAAUAUUUGCAACAAAGUUGAAGUUCUUGCUAAGAGGUAAUUGCAAAAUUAUUUAUUUAUUUAUAUAUCACUUACUCUGAAAGCUUAUAAGGUCUUGCAACCUUUUAACAUAAUUUUUCCCUCUAAUAAAGCUUCAUUAUUUGCUAAUGGUCCCUUAACCUUACAAUUUUUCCCUCCUCUUCUAUGCCUAAUUUGAAAUUCAAAUAGUGAUGGUUUAAUUUUCCCUAAUAAUCCGUGUAUAGAUAAGGAGUAAAUAGUCAAUUUCCCCCCUAAAAUUGUAAGUUUCAUCAAUUACCCCUCUGAAAUUAACAAAACUUCAAUUACCUCUGAAAUUUCACAACGUUGGUCAAUUUACCGCCUCCGUCAAAUUUUUCUGUUAGUGAACAUGAUGUUUUGCAAAUACCCCCCCGAAGUUUUGCACUUAUGUGCAAAAUGCCCCCCAAAAUUAAAAAUUUAUAUUAUUUUUUUCUUAAAAACAAACAAUUAAUAGUUAAAUAUUAAAGCUAACUAUNAUAAACAUGCUAUUUUUUAGAACCGUAUGAUCUUGAUCUGGUGCGAACAUAUCAUCUAAGUGCAUGAGUGCUCUGAAUCCGAAUUUGUGUCCAAAUUAAAUGGUAUUUCAGUAAUAAAAAAGUGUUAAAAAAUCCUCUCAAAAAGGUCCACUAGGAUGACUUCAUUUGUAAUAUUGGACAGGGAUGGAUAUGAAUACAUGUUUAUUGAUAAGAUUGUUCGAGUCGUCUCAACAGUGAUACAACCUUUUUCUUUAUCUAUACCUGAUUACCUAGUUGGGUUGGAGGACCAAAAACAAGAUGUAUUAUCGCUUUUGAAUGUUGACUCUGAUGAUAAGGUCUAUAUGGUUGGAAUCCACGGAACCGGUGGAAUAGGGAAAACAACUCUUGCUCAAGCGGUUUAUAAUUCAAUUGUAGAUC